This 557-nucleotide ribosomal RNA is filed under the name uncultured Rhizobium sp. RNAcentral's name for it is "bacterial SSU rRNA". It matches the Rfam family "Bacterial small subunit ribosomal RNA", at positions 102 to 694 of the family's 1533-position model. The record is from RNAcentral. Lineage: Bacteria; Pseudomonadati; Pseudomonadota; Alphaproteobacteria; Hyphomicrobiales; Rhizobiaceae.
ACGGGUGAGUAACGCGUGGGAAUCUACCGUGCCCUGCGGAAUAGCUCCGGGAAACUGGAAUUAAUACCGCAUAUGCCCUACGGGGGAAAGAUUUAUCGGGGUAUGAUGAGCCCGCGUUGGAUUAGCUAGUUGGUGGGGUAAAGGCCUACCAAGGCGACGAUCCAUAGCUGGUCUGAGAGGAUGAUCAGCCACAUUGGGACUGAGACACGGCCCAAACUCCUACGGGAGGCAGCAGUGGGGAAUAUUGGACAAUGGGCGCAAGCCUGAUCCAGCCAUGCCGCGUGAGUGAUGAAGGCCUUAGGGUUGUAAAGCUCUUUCACCGGAGAAGAUAAUGACGGUAUCCGGAGAAGAAGCCCCGGCUAACUUCGUGCCAGCAGCCGCGGUAAUACGAAGGGGGCUAGCGUUGUUCGGAAUUACUGGGCGUACAGCGCACGUAGGCGGAUAUUUAAGUCAGGGGUGAAAUCCCAGAGCUCAACUCUGGAACUGCCUUUGAUACUGGGUAUCUUGAGUAUGGAAGAGGUAAGUGGAAUUCCGAGUGUAGAGGUGAAAUUCGUAGA